UGUAAGCGUAUACCAAAGUUGUUGCAGUUAAAACGCUCGUAGUCGGAAUUUGGCAGUUCCGGAUGUGUGCACGUCGUGUGCGCACUUCGCGGGGAUUGCUUUUGUGGUCUUGCGUAGGAUGAGGCACUUUUAUUAGUGAACGUCCUCACGCAACCACUUUUUACUGUGAGAAAAUCAGAGUGCUCAAAGCAGGCAUUUGCCGUGAAUGUAUUAGCAUGGAAUAAUAGAAUAGGACUUGGUUCUAUUUUGUUGGUUUGUUGGGACUGAGUAAUGAUUAAGAGGGACAGUGGGGGGCAUUUGUAUUUCGGUGCUAGAGGUGAAAUUCUUAGAUUACCGAAAGACAAACUGCUGCGAAAGCGUCUGCCAAGGAUGUUUUCAUUGA
RNAcentral lists this ribosomal RNA (382 nucleotides) under uncultured eukaryote. RNAcentral describes it as "partial 18S ribosomal RNA". It matches the Rfam family "Eukaryotic small subunit ribosomal RNA", at positions 592 to 976 of the family's 1831-position model. The record is from RNAcentral.